UACGUAGGGUGCAAGCGUUGUCCGGAAUUAUUGGGCGUAAAGAGCUUGUAGGCGGUUUGUCGCGUCUGCUGUGAAAUUUCGGGGCUCAACCCCGAACUUGAGUGGGUACGGGCAGACUAGAGUGUGGUAGGGGAGACUGGAAUUCCUGGUGUAGCGGUGAAAUGCGCAGAUAUCAGGAGGAACACCGAUGGCGAAGGCAGGUCUCUGGGCCGGUACUGACACUGAGGAGCGAAAGCGUGGGUAGCAAACAGG
This 252-nucleotide ribosomal RNA is filed under the name uncultured bacterium. RNAcentral's name for it is "partial 16S ribosomal RNA". It matches the Rfam family "Bacterial small subunit ribosomal RNA", at positions 524 to 776 of the family's 1533-position model. The record is from RNAcentral.